This 253-nucleotide ribosomal RNA is filed under the name uncultured bacterium. RNAcentral describes it as "partial 16S ribosomal RNA". It matches the Rfam family "Bacterial small subunit ribosomal RNA", at positions 524 to 776 of the family's 1533-position model. The record is from RNAcentral.
UACGGAGGGUGCGAGCGUUGUUCGGAAUUACUGGGCGUAAAGGGCGUGUAGGCGGCCAACUAAGUCCGACGUGAAAUCCCCAGGCUUAACCUGGGAACUGCGUCGGAUACUGGAUGGCUUGAAUCCGGGAGAGGGAUGCGGAAUUCCAGGUGUAGCGGUGAAAUGCGUAGAUAUCCGGAGGAACACCAGUGGCGAAGGCGACACGCUGGGCCGUACCUGACGCUAAAGCGCGACAGCAUGGGGAGCAAACGGG